Pelobates cultripes (western spadefoot toad) is the source of this 20429-nucleotide non-coding RNA. The record is from the annotation of a GenBank genome assembly. Lineage: Eukaryota; Metazoa; Chordata; Amphibia; Anura; Pelobatidae.
CAAGUAUUAUGUAUGAUUUAAUUUAUUAUGCAUUUGUGUUUUUAUUUCCAUAUUUAUUUCUAUAUGUUUUUGAAUUUUUAUACUCUGUAUGAUAUGAUGGGUAUCGAGUUUUUUCAACAAUUGAUGGCACUUUUGAUGCUACAAUUGAUUCCAAUAGUACAGCCGUUUUUCCUAGCGAGUGAUCGCAAGUGCUAUAUAAACUGAAGGGUCAGACCAAGACAAUCACCAGCCUCUGAUGAAGUGACCCUGCCGAGUCACGAAACGCGUUAGGUUUUAUGGCAGAAGCCGCACGAACAUCCAGAAACCGAGUCCUAGUGGAACGCAGGUUGGGUUAACAAGGUGGAAUGCACGCAAAGAGAAAUUUACCGCUUCCACAACAUCGAGACCUCCCAGCCGGCCAGAGGAAGGUGUUCCACCACUAUUCCAGCGACCACUCAAUUUUGCAGACUCCAAAGGACCCUAUAGUUGCUCCACUCCAUUGCACCUUUGUGAGUGUAUUUUAUCUUUAUAAUAAAUUCGAAAAUAAAUUUUAAUGGAGAGCACUAUGGCUGUUUGUUCUAUAUUUCAGAUCACAGAGAAUACUCUAUCACUAUAAAUCUGUGUCUGUUAUCUAAGAGUGAUUGCCAUUACAAUAUUUGUGUGAGGGGCAAAUAAGGCCGUAUAGGAAAGGGGGAAAUAAGUCGGUUGUGGUGUGCCGGAACCGACGUAGUGGUAAGCCUGUAAUAAAAGGCCUUUCUCUCUCUCUCUCUCUCUCUCUCUCUCUCUCUCUCUCUCUCUCUCUCUCUCUCUCUCUCUCUCUCUCUCUCUCUUUCUCUCUCUCUCUCUCUCUCUCUCUCUCUCUCUCUCUCUUUUGUGUACUUUUUGAGUAAAACAAUAGAAAUUGUACAUUUCCACUAUAUAUACAGCGCUACUGAAUUUGCUGGUGCUAUAUAAAUUAUAAGAUAUAAUUAUCUACUAUAUAACAAAGUGCAUAUUGCAGGGCAGGACUCCUCUUCUCUGUACUGUACAUGGAUCCAUAUAUGUGUGCUAUAAAGUAUUAAUUGUAGUUUGUUCUGUUGAUCUAUUGUUUCUGUACACCAUCUCUACAAGGCGGGAUUUCUUUUCUGUACAAUGUAUUGUAAUACUACAACUCAAGCCCUUAAAAGAACACCAGACUAUUAGAAAUAUAAACCUGUAUUCCUAACCCUUCUGUGCCCCUGUCCCUAGUUCUAUCCAGGCCCACUGCUAUCCCCCCCUCGCUUGUAUUAAAAACAGCUUUAAAAAGAAAAAAGCAUUUUACUCCCCCUUUUCCAGCUGCUCACCUCUGUGUCCUGUGAUGUCAUGGUGAAGGAUGGAGGCAGCAACGGUCCGAUCCAAUACCCCUCAUUGAAGAUCAUUGGCACUCUGAUGCGCAAGCGCGGCGAGCAUUAUGUGCACAUCCAAAAAUCCUCACGGAUAAACAUUGAAUUCAGUGCUUUGAGUCCUAUGCCACGAGGUUUACUCAGCCAGUGGAACGGAAGCACAGCAAAUGGCUGUCUAGAAGAAGCAACUAGAGGUGUGUUUAACCCGGCAAUGUAAACAUUACAAUUUCUAGAAAACUGUAAUAUUUUACAUUGCAGAGUGAAAAUAGCAACCACUGCACUCAGACAGUUUAAUUCAGAUAAAGUGGACUGGGUGACUUUAGUGGUCAUUUAUUUAAGUUUAGGAUUUUAUAGUAAAGUACUAGAACAUUUCUCUCCACUACCACUACUACUGCAAAUCGAGUCUGCUUCUAUAGAGCGUUGGAAGGAUUACAAUACAGGGUCCCUAUCACCUUGUUCUGUAUAAUGCAUGUAUCUGGAUAAAACCGCAAGCUGUACAGAAUACCGAUCUAUCAUUAUUUGCUAAAGUUAGAAUUGUCCAGAAUUCAAAGUGAAUUUCAAGUUUACGGCCAACAUAGAUAAAUCAGGAAAAUGUUCCAGCUAUGCCUCCAGUUACUGAACAUGCAGCUUUCUUUUUCAAUAAACUCCGAUUGGCAUGUUUCCUAUCCCUUUGCAGUGUACCGUAUCUGUCAGGUUCAGUCACUAAAUCAGAAAUUGCAUCGCAUUAUAUAGGGGAUUUAAUGUGUUAAACUAGAAAAAUUAUCUACAGUUUGGCUACUUACUUAUUCUGCUAGUUUUUCCAGAAUGUGAAAAUCCCUUGUCAUUCCCCACUUUAUAGAACAGCACCGUGUUACUGCUGUAGAUCACGAUUUUCCUCGCCCUCUGUAUUUUUUAACAUAAUGCAUCAUUGAGUAUUCUAAUAACUGAAAAUAUGCUGUUUACCUUUUUAUAUAGGUCAGGAAACUGAAUUGACGUUUACAAGAGGUGUCAAUGUUAAUUUACUGAUUAGUCUCAAUGGUUAGAUGUCGAUAGAUUGUAAGCUUUGCGCAACAGCCAUCAAUCUGCCACUUCUCUCUGCUUUAUACGUAGUCUUGGUGUCUGCUGUCACGUGAUUGGAUUACAAUCUCCUUGAACAAGUUAGCAUUAUUGUUUAUUAUUUGAAUUUUAGGCAGCCUUACUCACAAUUACCUGUUGAUGCUCUAAAAGAACACAGUAUAUGUAUAGAGACUAGUUAUUUGCCCAGGGAUAUUCCUUAACAGGAGAAGAUAGGUGAAAUGGAAAAAUCAAUUAAAGUAUUGAUUAUUUCUUUGUGUAUCUGCCCCUGGCCAAAUCAAUGAAACAAUGCGUGCACGCUCCCUGAAGUAAUUCACACCAGACACAGGUUCCAGGUUGUUGAAUAACUUGAGGAAAAGUUUAUUCAGAGGGGACGGCAAGUCCCUUUUAAAGCAAAAUUACAUCAUAAGCAUUGUCAGAGAUAACAUGGAAUAAUACAUCAAUUAUUGGUUAGGUGUUAAGUGGUUGCUUCAAUGCUCUGCCUACUGUAGGUGAUGUCACCGGGGCCAUGAGGGUCUCCCACGGUUUCCCAGCGCCAUCUUGGUGCACGAGGUAGUUAGUCGAUGUUAGGAAGGAGAAAGGGAAGGGGGGGGGGGAAAGGAGCUAGAAGCUUUAGCAGCCAUCUUAAUUAUAACGUGUGUGCUUAGCUAUAUAUAUAUAUAUCGUGAAAUGAGUAAAUAGACAUUUUUCACUAACUAGGAAAUAUGUGUAGACCUUAUUUCCACAACAGUCCCCCCUAAAAUGGCUAUUUACCAUAACAACUGCUACUGUCCCUAAUAUGUCCCUAGUUGCCUGCAACCUAUCUGCCUUAACUAGCAUCGAACACUUCACUCCGCGGGUAACCCGCAGUGGCUAGUCCACUACAUCUCCACACGUGAGACUCGCCAGUAAGACAGACGCUUUCCCUAUACUGUCCCUACAGGAAAGCAGUUGUUUGUUUGAACUGAUGUGAUUGAAGGGGUGUAUGUGGAGUAUCAUCUUCGAGGUCUGUGAUGUCUUGGUGUAUGAAAGUAGGGGUCACGUCAUCUAUAGUCUUGUCUACCGCUUUCUGUAGAUACUUCUGUAUGCAGGGGAAUAUACAACAGGUCAGAAAUAAGAAAAUGACGAUCAUUAUGAGAACAGCUGUCCCCACCUGGAAGAGGGUCCUUUGCCAACCAUUCAUCCAUCCAAACCAUCUGUCCCAAGUGUCGAUGACUCCUGAAUUUUUCUUUAGCUCAUCUGCAAGACUAUCUAGCUUCUCUAUGGCCAUAGUCACCUUACCGUUGGGCCCAGUGUUGUCUGGAAUGUAUGUACAGCAUGUCAUGGUCUCAGGGAGGAUUUUACAUACACCCCCCUUCUCGGCUAAAAUCAUAUCUAGGGCCAUUCUGUUCUGAAAUGUCAUUUGGGUAGUGGCUUGUAAUUGUUCUGCCAGGCCCUGUAGGGCAUCCCUAGUGUAGUUGACAAAACGCUGUUGAUUAUAGUAAAUGUAGUUAAUCCAAUUGACAUUUUUGUUAGCAGUUAUCAUUGGAAUUAGGGACUCAAAUCCUGCAGCCACUUCAUCUCUUGCUUUGAAUUCGUUAGGCACCCCCCUUGGCACACCUAUGGCAUCAAUAUACACAUGGGGGUCGAAACUCCCUCGAAUAGGAGUCUCUCGUUUGGUUCUAGAGUGUACAUGUGUGAGAUUUAAUGUGUUAUGGUCACCAUCUGGGAUGAUAUGGAUAGGCAUUAUAACUUUAGUUAGGGCACACUCCCCCCACCAUUGUCCAAUUAAUUGGGACCUCAACUGUUUAUCCCCACAUAACCAAUAGAUAUCACCGAUUGUCUUUGUGUGAUUCAUUAGCAGUGAUACGGGUGGAUUAUGGUAAGUUGAGCAAUAUCCUGAUGGGAAUUUGCCCAGAUAUAAACCGGUGUUUUUAGAUAUUGUAUAACAUGUGUAAUUACCUGGGUAGAUGGUGACUCCAUCAGGUGGUUUUACAUGUCCGUGAGUGAUCGGGUAAAUUCUCUUCCAUGAUUCACAUGUCGAGGAAUUGGUGACGGACUGUGUGUAAAGGCUCAGAACACAUGAUUCUACUUCAGGAGGCAAAUUCAGAGGAACUGUGCCCAGAUGGGGUCUGGCUCCUCCACACACAUAACAAUUGGUCUUAUUGUGUGAGUUGGCAUUAUACCUCAUCCAUUCCAGCCAUAAAUUAGUGUCUGAGAAACCAGUUUCCACUGCCAUAGUGUCUUCAAAGGUGGGGUUGGCUAUAGCUACCAUGUCAUGUAGGGUCUUAAUAUGUGGUUUUAAUGGGUUAACGAUCAUGUGAGUGGUCCCUACCCAGUCUGGGGAGGUGAGCAUGUCUUGUAGGUAGAAUGUCCCCAGUGCAUUGUGUGAGCCACCUCCCUCCCAGUACAUCCCCAUCACAUAUUCCCCCGCGUCCCUUGGACUAGGGUGUUCUAUAUUCAAGGUAAGUUUGAUGGGAGUUGACCCUGUGGGUUUACUAAGAGUCAUUCUAGAAAGUAGGGGCUUCCCGUCUUUGUCAAGUCUAUCUAGUGCAACCUGAGGUCUGUAGCCCCAUGGUCUACCUGUAUUCCACCCGGCAGCUUUCCAUGAACUACAGUGGUGUCCCCAAGCUCCUCCAGUCACACAAAUGUAUGGGUCCUUUUUGUCAGGUAUGUCCUUGUAUAUGGCUGCAUGUUGUGUCUGUGGGAAUGUACAGGUAACUAUGUCACAAUAAUCAAAGGUGUAUGUAGCUACAUCAGUAUCAGAAGAAUUGUACCAGAAAGUGUAAACAUGAUUAUCUUUGGUUAUGGCCACUUGUUGGGCCCAGGCAAAACGCAGCAAUAUAAGAAAACACGAGACACAUAAUAAAUUCAUGUUUCAACAAGAUCAGCUUCUUCUGGAGCAGGCACUUUUUUGCAAUGUGAAGCGUGUAUCCAGGAACUUUUUCCAGCUAGUUUAACUGACGUUGCUGUAAUCAGGAGCACUUGAUAAGGACCAUCAAAUCUCGGUUCUAGGGUGUGUUUCCUGAGGAACUUCUUAACCAUAACCCAGUCACCAGGGAGCAGCUUGUGUGUACCUGUAUUCGACUCAGGAUCUGGAAUAGAAGAAAACACUUGGGCAUGUAUCUUGGUCAGGGCAUGAGAGAGAGCGGUCACAUAGUCUACCAUAGCAUCUGACUGAAUCUGAAGCUGCUGGGGAAAGUAACAACCCAACCUAGGUGCUGUACCAAACAAAAUCUCAUAGGGUGAUAGGCUGUAUUUUCCCCUAGGUGUGUACCUUACACUAAACAAUGCCAGUGGGAGACUCUCGGGCCAGGGCAUGUUAGUUUCUUGUGACAUCUUGAGCAUUCUGGCUUUCAAAGUGCCAUUCAUGCGUUCUACCUUACCACUACUCUGUGGGUGAUAUGGUGUAUGAAAUGCAAGGGUCACCCCCAGUGCUGACCAGACUUCCCGUGUUAGCGAGGCAGUGAAGGAGGUCCCCUGGUCACUUUCAAUCACUUCUGGGACCCCAUAGCGGCAAACAAUUUCUGUCAGAAGAUACUUGGCUGUAGUCCUCGCGGUGAGGUUAGUCACUGGGAAGGCCUCUGGCCAUCCUGAAAACAUGUCCACUAUGACCAAUGCAUAUUCAUAACGUCCACUUUUUGGCAUCUGAAUGUGAUCAAUCUGAAUCCUCUGGAAGGGAUAUUGUGGCUUGGCUAGGUGAUUAGGUGCAGUCUUUAUAAUCUUUCCAGGAUUGCAUUUAGCACAUAUAGUACAAGAUUUACAGUAGUUCUGUGUUAAGGUAGUGAUGCCUGGUGCUUCAAAAUAUUUGUCAAUCAAUGAGUUCAUCAGAUGUUUUGACAGGUGGGCUGGCCCAUGGGCCCAUUGGACCACCGCUGGAUACAUAUUUCUGGGUAGGCAAAACUUGAGAUUGAUAGUGUAAACAUCAUCACGGAGUAUAGCUCCUUUGCUCUUCCAACUUUGUUUCUCCUGUGGAGUAGCAGCAGCUUGUUGUUCCUUCAGGAGUCUAAGAUCUGUAGGUAAUGUUUGCAUAGUGUAGAUAGGUAAUGUAUCUGCGGCCACUCUUCUGUCCACUUCCCAUCUUUGCCGUGCCGCUUCCUUAGCUGCUUGAUCCGCUAGGUGAUUACCACGUGCUUCUUCUGUGUCUAGUCUUCCAUGGGCUUUUACUUUCAGUACUGCCACUUCUGCUGGAAGCUCCAAUGCAUCCAUCAGCUCUGCAAUGGCUGCCCCAUGCUUUACUGGGGUACCAGUGGCCGUUAGAAAUCCUCUGGUCUUCCAAAUUAGGCCAAAGUCAUGUGCUACUCCCAGGGCAUAUCUUGAAUCCGUAUAAAUGUUGACACGUAACCCUUUAGACAAUUUGCAGGCCGCAGUUAGGGCUGUCAAUUCAGCUUCCUGAGCGGACUUAGUUGGUUGUAGGGCAGCUGCUUGCAAUACUUGGCAUUCUGUGGUGACUGCAUACCCAGUGUGAUAUUGUCCCUGUUCAUCAGCAAAUCUUGACCCAUCCACAAAUAGUGUUUGGUCCGGGUUGAGUAAUGCAGCUUCGUAGACAGUUGGUAGGUGUGUAGUUUCCAUUUUCAUUUGUUCAAAACAAUCAUGAGGGAUAUCGAGGUCACAGUCUGUGAUGAGUGGAUCCUCACAGGCUUCUGUGUGGUAUCUGGGGUACCCAGCUGUACAGUAAUUAAUAGUCUUUUUAUUGACCCCCAUAGCAGUCAGCUGUUCUGGGGUCAUUUGACUCCAGGUUUUGGCCAUCGGGCCUAGAUCUUUCCACGAGAUGUCGGGGGGUUUGGUGACGGAUAUGUGUGGAAUCGAUGUUCCCCAAUGGUGAUAGAGAUGUGUCACACUCUCUGGGAGGUGGACCAAGAUGAGCAUGGUACCUGUGAGGUCCCAAAACAAGUAAGUCAGGGUAAUUUGGAUUUCUUUAAGUUGGAACACUUCUUUCUCAUAGUUCAUAUCAGGGCCUGGUUCAUCCCUAACCCACAAGGUACAGUGAGGUAGGGCCACUGAUUGUUCAUUAUGUGGAGGUGCAAGUGUAGGUAGUUGCAGAUCUGUUAGAACUUCCGGGUUGAUAUCCAGGCUAUACCAGUGGUACACAAUUCCCCCCUUGGGAAGUGGCAGAAGAGUGGCUGGAUUCAGGGUAAGGCAUCUCUGGAGUUUCACAUUGUCAGGUAAAAGCAAUGAGGUUUGCAGGCGGAGGUGGCGUUGGGAGGAAAGGUGCUUAGGUUGGACUUGUUGCAGGAUAGCAGUAAUGUCAUGGGGGGCCAACACUGUGAGGUGAUGGCCUAGAACAAAGUCAUUAGUCUUAUCCAGGAGGGCACUGGCGGCAAACACAGCACGGAGGCAAGAGGGGCUGCCCCUUGCAACAGGGUCAAGCAUGCAGGAAAAGUAGCCAAUAGGCCGUUGUCGGGACCCAUGUUUCUGAGUAAGGACUCCGGAAGCAUGUCCUGAUCUCUCAGAGACAAACAAAUUGAAAGAGAGUUGGUAGUUGGGUAGGCCCAAAGCAGGUGCAGAAGCAAUAGCUCGUUUCAGAGUAUGGAAACAGUUAAUAGUUUCUUCAGUGAGGUGAAAAGGCUCACUCCGGAGUGCAUCAUAGAGAGGCUGCAUGAGUUUGGAUGCUUCAGGUAUCCAGGACCUGCAGUAUGUGAUGAGACCAAAGAAAGCAUGAAGAGAGUGGUGGGUUGCAGGUAAUGGGAGUUGAAGGAUAGCUUGCACCCGUUGAGUGGUUAGGUGUUUGGUGCCAUGGGAAAUGCAAUGUCCCAAGAAGACCACAGAGGGCCGGCACCAUUGCAGCUUCGAUUUUGAGGCCUUGCACCCUGCAGUAACAAGGAAACAUAGGAGAUCUUCUGAGUCACGUUCUGCAAUAAGCAAAUUAGGAGCACAGAGAAGGAGGUCAUCAACAUAUUGAAGUAGAACAACAUCCAGAUGAGAUUUCUGCCAGGGAUCCAAAACUAGAGACAUGGCAUGAGCAAACUGUGUGGGAGAAUUCUGAGCUCCCUGAGGCAUGACAGUCCAGGUAUAUUGUUGUCCUUCAUGUGUGAAGGCGAAGAGAAAACGGCAGGAAGGGUCAAGGGGAACACUGAAAAAGGCAUUAGCUAGAUCCACAACAGUAAAAACAGUUGAAUUUGGUGGCACUUGGGACAAAAGGGUGUGGGGGUUUGGAACAAUAGCAGUGUCUUUAAUGGUUACUUCAUUAACAGCACGGAGGUCCUGUACCAUGCGGUACUGGUCGGGUUGGCCCUUAACAGUUCGCUUUUUAACAGGGAAAAGUGGGGUGUUGCAUGGAGAUGUGCACUUGGUGAGGGCACCUUUGGCAAGCAGAGACUCAACUUGUUUGGUGAUGGCUUCAGCUUGUGCUGGCUUCAGAGGAUACUGAGGUCUACGAGGAGGAAGUGCUCCAGGCAGGAGCUGGACCAGGACGGGGGGUACAUGUAAGCGUCCAAUAUCAUCCGGGCCGGUGGACCAAAGUUCUUGGGGGAUACGAUCCAGAGCACUGGGGGUGUGUGUGACCCGUGCAUUCCCUGUAUUGUCUGUUAGGUUCAGCAGGAUGGGGAGUGAGCAGAGCACAGAAGUAUCUUUUUGUGAUAAGGGGGUUGUUAACUCAACUUGUCCAUCUGCAGUAAAGGUUAUGGAAGCCUGGAGCCGAGAGAGGACAUCGGCACCUAGGAGGUUAAUGGGGCAAGUGGAGGAGACAACAAAACGGGACAGGAUGUGUGAACCUACAUGUAAGAGCUUGGUAAGGGGGUUACUGCGUGGUGUACCAUCCACCCCAACACAGGAUACAUCAGUGUCAGACAGGAAGGAAGGGUCUGGCAGGUCUUGUUCCCUAAGGACACUACGGGCUGCACCUGUGUCAACUAAAAAAGUGGUUGGGUGACCCUCCACGGGGAGAACUACAGUAGCCAAGGGUCCUCCCCCAUCCCCCGCAGACACUGCCAUAGCAGGGGUUGCUGACACAGGCUUGCCAGUUACCUAUUGCAAUAGAUCAAGGUGGGCCUGAUCUGGUCCCUGGUACCGGCGGGAGGUGGAGGGAGGGUUGACAGAAUGCAUGGGUGGGCGGGAUGGACGGAGGGCAUGGCGGGGAUGAGGUUGGUUGUCUUGGAAGUCAUCAGUAUCAUACCCUUCAGUGGAGGGUGAAGUGUAUGCACGGGCCUCUGCUGCGGGGAGCCGGGCUUGGGAGUACUCAGGAGGCGGGGGAGGGGGAGGUGGAGGAGGUAGCUGAGGCAGCUGUGGAUGGGGUAGGGCAGGGAGAUAACCAGUGGAGGGGAAGUUGUAGCUGGUGACAUGGGGGUUAUGGUACCUGACGGUCUGUUGGCGGAGUACUCUAGGGUGUGGGCAAUCUCUCCUAAAGUGACCUGGCUGAUUACAAUUAAAGCAGGUCCGGAUUGUCGUGACAGUCCGGUCACGGGAGAAGGGAAUUGGUGCAGGCAGUGCCUGGGGGGGCUGGGUGAACUGUUGGGGGAGCAUCUGAGAGCCCUGGGUUGGACCUGCGAUUGGGGUGGAGGUAGCAUACAUCAGGGGACUAGUUCUACGCUGUGUAGGGAGCAAAACAGACUCUAAGCCUUUGGCUACCAACAAGAGAGUGUCCAGUGGAAUAAUUCUAUACUCCGGGCGAGCUAAAAUUAAACCCUUACGAAUAUUUUCCCUAAGCCCUGCCACAAAAGCUGCAGACAGCAUCUGGGUGUGUGCUUUGUUAUAAAUACUAAACCCUAAGUCUGAAAAAGUCUGAGUCAACCUAGAGUGAUACUUCUCAACUGUCUCAAGUUUGUCCUGUAGGAUAUCAUUAAUGCAAGUAGCCUGAUCUGCUAGUUUAUCCUGUGCCCAGGCACGAAGCUGUUCACAAAAAAUUUCACCAGAACGAAAGUCAGUAUCAGAAGUAAGUGGAGCAUCAUUAAAGCUCCGUUCCAUGAUUGGCCAGUAUGCAUCACCAGCCUUUAUUUCACAUAGACUAAUGAGAUCCCGCCAAGCAGCGGAAUAUGUUUUUCGGAUCUGAGCCAUCCUACGGAAAAAGGGCAUGGGGUGUUUUUCAGGAUCAGGGAGUGAGGUCACAAGGGUAGCAGCUUGGGAAGGGUUAAAGGUAACAUACAUAGGUGGAGCACCAUCCGCACCAUGGUUGAUUGGGGUAUAUCCCUGAGGGAUAGUUUGCUGUUGGGGGAGCCUAUUCACCCCCAGGUGGGGUGAAUUCAGGUCAACCUCAACUACCUCGGCGGGCAGCACUGGGCCACGACGGAGAGUAGUCUCAGGAGUAGAUGUAGCUGGGACAACAGGGAGGGCGGUGACAGGUGAGGUAGCUGGGUGGAAACCUGAAGCCUGGGGGGAGGCACCCAUCGCAUAGGGCUGGUCAGAUGUCCCUGACACCUCGGAUCCAACCACCAUGAUUGGGUAACUAGGGCCGGCGGAAGGGAUACGAGGGACCAAGGCUGUGGAAGGGGCUGUUACGGGGGCCGAUUGGGUAGGGCGUGAAAGGUGGGUGUUGAGGACAUUUGCGAGGGCGGAGAUGGGAUCGGAGGGCUCGGGGAUUUCGGCAGGAGACAAGGGUGGGGUUGGAGGCUCGGGGGGAGGGGGAGGAGGAAGAGGAGGAACGUCAAUGGGAGGCGGCAUGGGGAUUGCGGAAUUAACCAGGGAAGUAACAGCAGUGAAGAGGGCGGAUAUCGAGCCAGACAGGUCAUCGGUCAUGGGUGUGUCAGAGGUCACGGGGGAGGGGGUCAGAGGGACGGGGUCAGGGGGCUGUGAUAAGGUCGGGGAAACAGGGAUGUCGGGGGGAGAUAACACGGGAAAAGGGGCUGGAGGGGUGGCGGCAUAGGGUUGGGUUAGGGCGGUGAGGGCGGAGAUCAGGGACGGCAAAUCGGCCGCGGGAGUGGGAGGCAACGAGGUAGAGGGGGCCGGGGUUUCAGGAGGAGGUAACACUGGAGGAGGAGCUGGAGGGGUGACGGCAUAGGGUUGGGUUAGGGCGGUGAGGGCGGAGAUCAGGGACGGCAAAUCGGCCGCGGGAGUGGGAGGCAACGAGGUAGAGGGGGCCGGGGUUUCAGGAGGAGGUAACACUGGAGGAGGAGCAGUAGGAGAGACCUUGAGGAUGGGAGGGGAAUCAGUGGGUAAGGGGGCGGAGGCAAGGGAACCGGGACUAGCGGGCUGGACAAGAUUCAUGAGAGUGGAGAGUAGGGGCGGGGGAUCCUUGGAAACGGAGGAGGAGGAGAGGGGAUGAGAAGGAAUGGGGGAAGAUGGGGAUACAGGGAUAGGGGUCACGGGGAUUCCUGAAGAUACUGGAGAAGGGAAGUCAACCGGGGGACAGGGGUCCGGGGAGACGGGGUUGGUUGAGUGGGUAGGAGCGGGGGUCGUAGGACGUAGGAUGGACGAAGAGGGUGAGGGAACGGGGUUUACCAGUGACGGGGUACUCAGAGGGGAGAGGGAUUGAGAGGAGGAGGAGGACGGGACUUCGAUAGUUGAGACGGGAAUAGUCGGGGCAGUACUCGGAGUAAGGACAGGCCCUGGGAAAGGUAACAGGGGGCAUGGAGGUGGGGGAGCUCCGACGGGCGAAACAGGAUGAUGGCUGGAAAAGGGGGUUUGGUCACAGGAGGGUUGGUGCAUGGGAGUGGGUGGGAACGAGUGGUGUGGCACUGGGAAAUAGUAAGCUCCAUCUACACCGAGCACGGGACAUAGGGGGGUGGAGGCUGGAGACACACCCCCGGGGGGUGGGGUCUGUGCUGUGACGGGGGAGGCAGGGCGGGAAGUUACUGUUGCGCUCUGGGCGCCAUCAUAGGGUGGUGGCCGUGGAACAAUAGAAACAACAUCAUCAUUGUGAACAUUCCUAUGGUAAACAUGUACAAUCUGCCCCUCAAACUCCAACUCUUCCUCGACCCAACCUUCCCGUUUCAAACCUCUAGCUACACGAUACCAGGCCUCUGCAACCUUUGUGAGUCCGUUAUCCAACAGUAAACCUUCCUUGUCUAUGAGUAGCUUUCUCCAAAAUUCUGGCUGCAAUCUCCCACUGGGCAGCAUCUGGAAGCCACACACCUUAGCAAUCUUUUUAAGUUUCAUCAUUGCAUCCUCCCCUGCUCUUUCUUUCACAAUGUCGCAAGCCAACAAGCCCUUAGCAGGUCUACCAUGUUCCUGCCCCAUCUUGACUAAUCAAAGCGUGCCACUUGUUAAGGACAGAUGAAUAGAGGAGGUAUAAGGAAGUAGGGGAAAAAGAGUGUCUACAGUGCUCGACUGCCACGAGAACUUGAGCCCCGUGCGUCUUCCCCAAACGUAGACUAGUCACGGAGAUCCGCCCACCCGGGGUGGUGGUCACGGACGGGAGCGAAUGAGCGUGGGCGACUAACACAGCUCUGGGCAACAGGCACAGGAGAGAUAAAGCACAAAAGAAAAGAUGAACGUGGCUGCACUAAUGAGAAGACAUUUGCAAAAAUCACAAACAUAUAAAUGAGCAUAAACUCCGGAGUCCAGAACUAACCACACAAUACACACACACACCAAGGGUACCCACGCUGUAACAACAAUUGAACAAAAACCACAGAAUAACAGAGAGUAAAAUGGCCAUGUACAUGUUAAUGACACCGGUGCCAAAUAAUCGAAGUAUAGCUAUCCUCAGCCUCCACCCACCAGGCUGGUCCCGGUAUAACCCAGGUAUUAAUGGGAGCACAGUAAUAAACAAACAAAAUCCCAGCCCCACCGGCUGUAAUGCAUUCCCUGCCCGCUAGGCAGUCAAGCUAACUUAAAAUCCCAGCCCCACCGGCUGUAAAGUCCCAGCCCCACCGGCUGUAAAAUCCCAGCCCCACCGGCUGUAAAGUCCCAGCCCCACCGGCUGUAAAAUCCCAGCCCCACCGGCUGUAAAGUCCCAGCCCCACCGGCUGUAAAGUCCCAGCCCGACCGGCUGUAAUGCGUCCCCUGCCCGCUAGGCAGUCAAGCAAACUUAAAAUCCCAGCCCCACCGGCUGUAAUGCGUCCCCUGCCCGCUAGACAGUCAAGCUAACUUAAAAGAAGUAUGAGAAACACGCACCCACACAUACAAACGAAUACAGGAGGCAGAUAGACAAUUGACAGGUUCACCUUAAAAAGGCACACCGGAUGAGUUAAUUACCUGUCUCUAGUAGCCUUCUGGAAGCCGGAAGUGGACUCGGAGGCAGACCGACACAAAACAGGAGAAUAACACAGGCAACGGCUGUAUUAUGGGGGUGAUCAGGCUCCGCUUGUCCCACUUUCCAGAGGUCCGCUCCGGUCCGUUGGUUCCGGCCCUCCGAACCGGCCCUCCGGUGGCCCCACGUUGGGCGCCAAUUGAAAUGGAAAAAUCAAUUAAAGUAUUGAUUAUUUCUUUGUGUAUCUGCCCCUGGCCAAAUCAAUGAAACAAUGCGUGCACGCUCCCUGAAGUAAUUCACACCAGACACAGGUUCCAGGUUGUUGAAUAACUUGAGGAAAAGUUUAUUCAGAGGGGACGGCAAGUCCCUUUUAAAGCAAAAUUACAUCAUAAGCAUUGUCAGAGAUAACAUGGAAUAAUACAUCAAUUAUUGGUUAGGUGUUAAGUGGUUGCUUCAAUGCUCUGCCUACUGUAGGUGAUGUCACCGGGGCCAUGAGGGUCUCCCACGGUUUCCCAGCGCCAUCUUGGUGCACGAGGUAGUUAGUCGAUGUUAGGAAGGAGAAAGGGAAGGGGGGGGGGGAAAGGAGCUAGAAGCUUUUAGCAGCCAUCUUAAUUAUAACGUGUGUGCUUAGCUAUAUAUAUAUAUAUCGUGAAAUGAGUAAAUAGACAUUUUUCACUAACUAGGAAAUAUGUGUAGACCUUAUUUCCACAACAGUAGGUACAAAGCCUCUGUUGCAGGAUUGUGAAUACAUCCUCUAUAAUGUGAUUAGGCAAAUUUAAAAAUGCCAUCCAUCGGAGCAGCAAUGGUUUAAAUAUAAUAUAUCAUAUUACGGUACAAUAUAGUAUUAAUUAUGAUAUAGUACUGUAGAAUAUUUCUAUAUGUAAAAAUAUAGUGUAAAUCAACAUGUGAAAGACAUCUUCAAAGCAAAAAUAGCUAAAUAUUCAGAUAAUAUUUCUAGCUUGGUCUUGUUUGAAUUUCCCUUAUUAAUUCUACACAAUUCAUGGUUUAGUUAACAAACCCCAUCUUCAGUAAAAGGUGACACUUGGUUACCUUAUGUAAAGGGGACAUUGUCAUUACAGAGACAAUUUUGUGUUUUGUAACAUUUAAUUUAGCAUGGCUAAGCAAUCAAGGGAUCAGCCUGUGUUUUGCUCCUUCAAACAAUCAGUUUAAGAAGCUCCUUUGUCUUGUGUUGAAAAUGCAAUGCGGAACGUGUACUAGAACAUUGUGUGGGGUGUGAGUCUGGAGAGGAGGGGAGAAUGUUAAAUAUAGAACAAAGCACUCUAUGAAGUGUUUAUAUAAUGCAGGGGAUGGGAGUUGAUAUGUUUAAUUAGAACAUAAACAAUAACAUGGCUUGUCAUAUACUCACGUACAAGGGAUGUCUAACCCCUAGAAUGCAAGUAAGUACUGUGUUCAUUACACAUUAGGGUCACAACACUAUUAUACACUGCACUUUGUGUAUAUUUUACAGAGGUGAGGGAAAAACAGCAAAACUUUCAGAAUGGAUCAGUAUACUUUAAUAUCUCCUAAAAUCAGUGCUGUAUUUUCAGUGAGGCUAACAAGGCAUUUGCCAUGGGCAGCACUUUCCAGGCGAAACCUAAAUGCCCCAGGAGAUGCCUUGUUAGUCUUGUUUCAUGUGGGGCCCAAGAGCGGGCGGGCUGGCGAUGUCUAUUUUAGCCAGGUGGUGAGAGCGUUGUCCUCUGUGCUCUUCUUGCUCACCUAGCUUGUGCAUUCUGCUGUGAUGCCAGGAUAGGCUUCGGCAUCGCGGCAGGGAGCAGAGCAAGAAUAUUGCGCUCCCACCUGCCUGCCGAGCAGCUACACUGAACCCCAGGGAAAUAAUCCCUUCCAGCUCUCCCAAAGACAGGGAGACUGGUGGAUUUAAACUAAUUUAAAAAUAAAUACAUUUGUGAGUGUAUGAGAAAAUGUCUGUCAAAAUCAGUAUGUGUCUGUCAGCGAGUGCAUGUGUCUGUCAGUGAGUGUGUGUGUCUGUUAGUGAGUGUGUGUGUCUGUUAGUGAGUGUGUGUCUUUCAGUGAAUUGUGUCUGAGUGUGUAUGUGUGAUGCAUGCAUCAGUGAGGGUGUGGGUCAGUCAGUCAAAGCGUGUGUUGGUCUUAAAGGAAGAAACUUAAAUUAUGUGGGUGCCCGAGUUUCGUCAUGCCUAGAGCAGCACAAAUCCAAAAUUCACCACUGCCUAAAAUGUAAUCCUAGCGUCAUCUAAAUCUUAACUGAAAAGAAAAUUAAACUAGCAACAUAAAAAAUUACCACUUUUUCAUGUCUUUAUUGAACUCAUUCAUCCAACAUCCAUUGUUUUUGUUGAGUAAAGUAUGUAGAUGUCUAAAGUAUGUAGAUGUCUAGAGAUAAUCAGAGAGAAUUCUGAGCAUAUCAUUAAACGUUAUCAGAGAUUAUAGCCUUCAUUUAGUUUUAAUCAACCUCGUAAUUCAGCCUCGUAGCCUACCAGAAGCCAGGGGUUUUCAAGCCGCACACUGCUCGCCUGGAGACAGGAGUGCUUGAGCCGCAUGCGGCUCCAUCGGAGGACCUCUGCCGGCACGCGGACAGGGUAAGUACCGUUACAAGUACAACUCGGUGAGGAACAUUGGAUAGGGCCACAGCCUUUGUGCAGGAAAAGGUAAGUAAAACCUUUAUUUUAUUAAUUUUAUUGGAAAAGUUUGUAUUCCUAAAGCUAUAAUGUUCCUUUAAAAUUCCCUUUGAAUUCCUGGCCAUUCUCACUUUUGUGAAUAAUUCUGAUAGAUGCUUUCUACCAUUUAAGCCAUGUAUCUUUCUGUCUCUUUCAAAGCUGCCAUUGACCCCCCAAUUUGGCCUUCGCCAGAUGUCCUCAUCACCAGUUUUCCUUAGAAGGCCUUCUCUGAUUGCAAUUUGUUUUGAGGAUUUUAUGACAUACAAGGGGAACAUCACAGCUUGAAUUUUUUUUAUUUAUUCCCCUCCCAUACUAACUGAGCUCUUUUAAUUCAUCUAUCCUAUAUUUGUUUUAAAAUUGCAGUGAGCAUUUCCCAUGACACAUACUAAGAUAUACAGCAAUUCCUGAGCCAUGUAAGACAUUAUCAAGUAACUAUGCAUCCAGUUAUGUCUUAAAUUUUGAAAUUCACUUUGAAUUUAUUUUCAACUCCUGGCAAUUCUCAUGUUAGUAAAUAACCCUGCACUAUCACCUGGACAAAAUGAACAACUGCUACAUAGACAAUUUAUGUGAUGGAAGAGAGAUGUGUAGAAUGUGUCUCUGCAUAUAUAUGCGCCUGUGUGUUAGCACGUCUGUCUACCCUUGUUGAUUGACCAUGACAUCAGAUUGGUGGACUAGAUGUUCAAAUCUGCUUUCUAAAAUAAAAGUGGCAUGUUUUUUAUGAUAUCUACACUUUAUUCCAGUAAAAGGAGAAAGUAAUGCAUCUGUCUUUAAUGGGCAUUGAAACAAGCUUUGUUGUUUCCAAGAAAUGGAGAUGUGUAAUUUUAAACCUCAUUUACUGAAACGAAUGGUAAAUCUAAAAACAUUGCACUUUAAAUGGAACAAUAUAUAUAUACGUGAAUGAACUUAUGCCGGUAGAUUUAAUCAGUAGGGCCAAAAUGUGUUUACUUUUCUAGCAAUAAUUGUCUCUCCCGGGUUAUAACAAUUCAAUUAUACCCCGGUAAACUGAUGCAGGAAAAAUCAAUUGUCCUUGUUGUAGAAAAGGAAUCCCAGCCCUCUAAUAUCUAAAAAAUUUUUUUAGAUCAAAUACGACCUUUUAAAAGUCAAUCAUAAUAAUACUCUGAAUAGUUGAACUGGAGUGGCUUGUUUUUUCAUCAUGUGAGCUAUUUAAGCUAAUUAAGAAGUUUUUCUACACACAGACACACAUUGCACAGCAGUGAGUGUGUUACCGUGGAUGCCUUGCCAAGUGGAUGCUGUUUGCUGGCAGCUGUUAGCUCAGGAAACACCCGCCAGACCUUGGAUAGAAGAUGCUUCCUGUAUUGUAUUGUGAUUGGAGACGCCAGACUCGGAGGGGGCGACAGACUAUAAACACGCAGGGAUACUCCUUCACUUACCGCCUCUAGGACACUGUGUUCCAAAAUAAUAUAUAAAAAGCCUUGUACCUCUAGGAUUGUGCAGCACCGCAGAAAAAUUCCCAAUUUUAGGCAAUUUAUAAGGCAGGAUGGUUUACACAAUGGCACAAUGACCAUUAAUAUUCAGAAGGUGUCCAGUCUUGUUUCACCAGUUGUUAAUGGAUUCAGAUCAUUCUAAAGAACUUUCUGCUAGUCAGAAGCUGGAGCAACAAGUUGGAAAAUCCUUGUUCUAUAGCAAGGUUAAAUUGUAUUUUUAUUAUUAUAUAUGUACUAGUUUAAGCUCGAGUCUAGAUAGAACUAGAACAGAUAAUGCCGAUGUUCUAUGGUAUUAUUUUAUUAUAUUGUGUAUGUGUGUAUAUAUAUAUAUAUAUAUAUAUAUAUGUGUGUGUGUGUGUGUGUGUGUGUGUAUAUAUAUAUAUAUAUAUAUAUAUAAUAAAUUCCUAUGUUAUUCUUUUCCUGGAGCUGGGAUUGUGUUGUGGGAGGUGAUGAGGUGAGAUUGUGUAUGUUAGUGAGUUUGCGUGUUUUGUGGUGGGUGUGUAGCUAUGUUACUAAGGUGUGCGUUACUGCGCUCGUUUGAGCUGCAUAUGAAGCUAUCUCUGUGGCUAUAGCAAUGAAACAAUUGGGUCUGUGUUUGUGUGUUUAAUCACCAGUGAAUGAGGGCAGAGUGGUUAUUAUGUUGUGAUAACAUUCAUUGAUUGCCCUUAGUUCUGCUUUAAAACCAUUGUAUGUUUUGACUCAUACUACAUGAACUACUGUUGAUGCAGCCUUUUUUUUUUUACUUGCUCUCACUUAUUAACUGCAUAGGAAUUGUACCAAACGUGUGAUUUUUUUUUUGUUUCUAAAAAGUGUCCAAACUAGCUAUGUUUUAAGUUCUGCUAUUUUGGCUUAAAAUUUUUAACUCUUCGUUUUCCUGACAAUACACACUUUAUUGAAUACCCCUGCAAAUAUAGAAUAACAUUGAUGACAUUUUUUUUGUAUGUUUUUUUUUUUUUAGCAUUUGUCUAUUUGUGUUAGAGAUAUCCUUUUACAGAGUGUUGCUGCAUUUUAAAGGGCAAGGAGGGGGUUUAUAAAUUGAGAAUCCUUUUUCAUUUAUUAUGGUUGUUGCUUGCUACCUGGCAGCCAUCUUGUUUCUCCUGUGAAUCUUUUUUUAUUUAUUUGUUUGGUAGCAGUUAUGCUAGUUAGGUGUCUCUAUGAACGUUUAUAUAUGCAUUAAAAACUUUUAUUGGAGAGUUAUUCCGAUCUACUUGGAAAGGACACUGGUGACCUCACCCCAGGGGUAUCUGCAUUAGAUUACUACUGCUGGGCAGAGGCCUGCUCAGGUUACUGAUCGUAAAAUCAGCGUACAGAGACUAUAUACCAUGUAGGGCCAAUGCACAGCUUACAUAUCUCUCUGUGUUAUAGUUAUGGGAACAUAUAAGGAGGAUUAAGUAGUUUAGUUAAGGACUUUAUUAACUAGGUGGAUCUGCUGGUCAAUGCAGCAUGGUCUUUAUUUUGUGGAACUAUAUUAGUCACCCCAAUGAUGUGUCACACACAUACAGGCCCCCCGUCAUGCCCAUUCAUCCAUGUAUAGUGUGUGGGUUUGUAUAUAAGGGUGUAGUUUUUGUAUACAGGAUUAACUAAAAUUAACAAUUUACAUGAAAAUAUUCCUGCCUCCAUCCCUGUAGUUACCUUGUUGGGAGAGGUUACAGGCAGACAGUCACACACACACAGUUUCAGUCACACACAGGCAGACAGUCACACACAGUGUCAGUCUCUCACACACACACACACCGCAGACAGUCACACACACAGUUUCAGUCUCUCACACACACACACACAGUUUCAGUCUUCGGUCACACAGAGGUAGAAAGUCACACACACACACACACACAGUUUCAGUUACACACAGUGACACUGCUCUGUAGGCCCUCCUGCCAUGUUUUGGCUUUCUUUUGCCAUGGUGCUCUUUGCGCCCGCACAGCUCGACCACCCCUAAGGCCAGCCCUGCGCACGUAUACAUAAAUGGCUAGUGGAGGGUCUAGUUUAUAUAUACUACAUAUUAGGGUAAGUGCACUGUGGCUUUAUGGCUUUUGCACAUCAAGUGUGAUGGAAUUUCGGUGAAAUGUAAAUUUAGUAGGCCGAGAUUUCCACGUGGCAUAUGUGUAUGUUGUAUCAGUUAGUUAGUUACACGUAGCUAAGAUACUGUCAUCAAUGUACUGAGCAUGUGCAGGAAUGCAGGAACUGAAAUCACACUCCUUUCUCCUUUGUUUCGGAUGAGCCAUGUGGUCUGCCCAUAUGAGGAAAUCCAAAUCCUGUCCACUGAUUGGUUAAGGGUAUGUGCGGGUGGAGAUAUUAAUGGGAGUAGUUAUAGUUCUAUAAAAAGCAUGUACUCCGUGUGUUCGCCCCUCAGACCUGUUUUGGAACGUUAGUUCAUCUGAGGCCCGAUCGGUAUGUUAAUAAAGACCUCUUACUUCCUGAAAACCUGCAUCCAUCUCUCUGUGUCUGGCUUCUGCAAGUUUACUCGGUUACACAAGGAAGGGACAGUGGUCCCGAAACAUUUGUCUUUCAUAUACUCUUUAACUAAAAGUAUGGUUCCUAUUUACUAAGCUGCAUAUUGUGCUACCUCCUGUUUUUGCAUGUAUACCUAAAUCCGGUGUUGUCAGGUUCUUCUAAGCCUGACAAUAGUCAUAUGGAACCUCAUGUACUCCUCUGGUGACCAAACAAAACUGCCAACAUGUUGCUGAGUAGAUUGAAAUAGAUUCGGGCAAAGGCAUGAGUUGUAACAACACCCAUUUUAAUGUAAUGCAGAUAUUUCUAUGUAGGAUAACCUUGAGGCUUCCCUUAAAGGAAGCAAAAGGAAACUCUAAUUAGAAAAUUACAUUUGUGAAAAAAUUACAUUCGACUUUAUGUUAAUACAUGAUCUGAAUACCUAUCAUGCUUGGCUUACAGAGGAUUCAUGCCAUGAAAGUGCACAGCCCAGAUUACAUGCCUUGGA